UCGGUAUUCUUGAUAUUUUUAUAUCGAAAUAUUUUUACGGAUGUCAUCAUUUGCAACUCUAUUUUAUUUUCUGCUUUCUUUUUUGUAAUUACUCCAACGUGUUUAUACAUGUCACUUGGACGGUGUUUUCUUGACUCGCUUAUGUUAUUUCGUUACCUUCACAACUUUAAAAAAAAUGUGAAGAAAAAAAUGGUAGAAUACAUUCCUUUUCUUGGUUUUGUUCAUUUAUUAUAUUUUAUGCAUUCUGGUCAUAAAGUCAUUGGUAUGAAAUUACAUUUUAUGUCAAUGGAUAGGUAGAACACGUUUCUUAUCUAGAAGCAUGUGGCAGAAGAAAUGCAAGUUCUGAGAGUGAUAUGAACUCAACAACAUGUAUUGAAGUCUCCUCAAAAGGAACGAGACCUCAAGGCCAUGUAUCUUUGGAGGUUGAAGUAAAAGGAUGAAAUGUUAUCUGUGCUCCUAAACAAAGAUUUGCUCUCAAUGGGAAAAUCAGAAGAGAGUGUUUUACCGAAGUUGACACCAGAAGUCCUGAGAGAGCUUCCAGUCCUCAAAUGGAUGAGCAAAGUGGAGAGAGCGAUCAAACGCAGAAGGAAGAGAAGUUAGGCUCUGGUGCAUCGAUGGUUCAUAAUGGUGAACCCCAUCUGAUCAUUGAGCCUGCAAAAAAUAUCCUGAACCAUGUUCGUAUUCUGCCGUUUGAAGCCACGUCGUCAUCGUUUGAACCAUGUUCGUAUUAUUUGUCCUAAAACUCUGCCUUUUCAAAAACCAUCCCAAAACUCUUUGAGCCUCAAAACUUUGUCCUAUUUUUGGUAAUUUCAACAAAAGGCAAGUGGAGAACAUAGAGACGAAGAAAUGGAGAAGGUAGAAGAGAAGACGGACUGAGUUAUUUCAAUUUUAACCUAACCAGUUAACCUCCAACCCAAUCGGUUCGAUUCGACAAUAUUAUUGUUGUAACACUCAACCCAAUCCAAACCGAACCGAGUCGAUUCGGGUUUUUUCAACCCUAGGUUUUAUUUGUUUAAGUGAAAAUAAAAGUGGGAAAACGUGGGUUUUAAUUAGGGAGGGGAAAUUUGGAUUUUUGUAGUAACCGUGGUAAAAAAAUAAAAAUAAUUUUUAGAAAGUGGGAUUUUUAGCCGCAUAAAUUAUGUCGAAAAACAAUACAUAAAUUAGAAUAAAAUUGCUCCACAUAACUUUGUUUCGUAUA
This is a long non-coding RNA of Cucumis sativus (cucumber), 1198 nucleotides long. RefSeq lists it as uncharacterized. NCBI's taxonomy places the organism in Eukaryota, Viridiplantae, Streptophyta, Magnoliopsida, Cucurbitales, Cucurbitaceae. The transcript is spliced from 3 exons. The record is from RefSeq and is a predicted model, not a curated record.